GACGAACGCUGGCGGCGUGCUUAACACAUGCAAGUCGAACGGAAAGGCCCUGCUUUUGUGGGGUGCUCGAGUGGCGAACGGGUGAGUAACACGUGAGUAACCUGCCCUUGACUUUGGGAUAACUUCAGGAAACUGGGGCUAAUACCGGAUAGGAGCUCCUGCUGCAUGGUGGGGGUUGGAAAGUUUCGGCGGUUGGGGAUGGACUCGCGGCUUAUCAGCUUGUUGGUGGGGUAGUGGCUUACCAAGGCUUUGACGGGUAGCCGGCCUGAGAGGGUGACCGGCCACAUUGGGACUGAGAUACGGCCCAGACUCCUACGGGAGGCAGCAGUGGGGAAUAUUGCACAAUGGGCGGAAGCCUGAUGCAGCAACGCCGCGUGCGGGAUGACGGCCUUCGUGUUGUAAACCGCUUUCACCUGUGACGAAGCGUGAGUGACGGUAAUGGGUAAAGAAGCACCGGCUAACUACGUG
Molecule: ribosomal RNA, 468 nt
Filed under: uncultured bacterium
Lineage: Bacteria
Description: partial 16S ribosomal RNA
Rfam family: Bacterial small subunit ribosomal RNA
Source: RNAcentral